AUGGGUUUCGCGCAGCUCGUCAUCGGCCCCGCCGGCAGCGGCAAGUCGACCUACUGCUCUGGUCUGUAUCAACAUUGCGAGACGGUGGGCAGGAGGAUUCAUAUGGUCAACCUGGAUCCAGCUGCAGAGCACUUCAGCUAUCCCGUAUCUACUGACAUUAGAGAGCUCAUAUCACUGGAUGAUGUCAUGGAGGAGCUUGGGAUGGGACCAAAUGGCGGCCUCAUCUAUUGCAUGGAGCACCUUGAAGACAAUUUGGAUGAUUGGUUGGAUGAACAAUUGGAGAACUACUUGGAUGAUGACUAUCUUGUGUUUGAUUGUCCAGGCCAGAUUGAACUCUUCACUCAUGUUCCAGUUCUGCGUAACUUUGUUGAGUAUCUGAAACGGAAAAAUUUCACUGUUUGCGCUGUGUACCUUUUGGAUUCGCAGUUUGUCAGUGAUGUCACAAAAUACAUUAGCGGUUGCAUGGCUUCUCUUUCUGCUAUGAUUCAACUUGAGCUUCCUCAUAUCAACAUCCUUUCAAAGAUGGACCUGGUUUCCAAUAAAAAAGAUGUAGAAGACUAUCUGAACCCUGAGGCACAGGUUCUUCUGUCACAGCUGAAUCGGCAGAUGGCACCUCGGUUUCACAAGUUAAACAAGGCUUUAGCUGAACUGGUUGAUGAUUACAACAUGGUGAAUUUCAUACCACUUGAUUUGAGGAAGGAGAGCAGCAUUCAGUAUGUGCUGUCAAACAUCGACAACUGCAUCCAGUACGGGGAAGACGCCGAUGUGAAGGUUAGGGACUUCAUUCCCGAGGAGGAUGAUUAA
Molecule: ribosomal RNA, 804 nt
Filed under: Triticum aestivum (bread wheat)
Lineage: Eukaryota; Viridiplantae; Streptophyta; Magnoliopsida; Poales; Poaceae
Description: partial small subunit ribosomal RNA
Source: RNAcentral